UGCAAGUCGAGGGGUAACAGGAGUGCUUGCACUCGCUGACGACCGGCGCACGGGUGCGUAACGCGUAUAGAACUUACCUUUUACAGAGGGAUAGCCUUUAGAAAUGAAGAUUAAUACCUCAUAGUAUUGAGACUCGGCAUCGAGACUCACUUAAAGAUUUAUCGGUAAAAGAUGGCUAUGCGUCCUAUUAGUUAGUUGGUAAGGUAACGGCUUACCAAGGCAGCGAUAGGUAGGGGUCCUGAGAGGGAGAUCCCCCACACUGGUACUGAGACACGGACCAGACUCCUACGGGAGGCAGCAGUGAGGAAUAUUGGGCAAUGGAGGCAACUCUGACCCAGCCAUGCCGCGUGCAGGAAGACUGCCCUAUGGGUUGUAAACUGCUUUUAUACAGGAAGAAACACUGCUACGUGUAGCAGCUUGACGGUACUGUAAGAAUAAGGACCGGCUAACUCCGUGCCAGCAGCCGCGGUAAUACGGAGGGUCCGAGCGUUAUCCGGAAUCAUUGGGUUUAAAGGGUCCGCAGGCGGUCAAUUAAGUCAGAGGUGAAAUCCCAUAGCUUAACUAUGGAACUGCCUUUGAUACUGGUUGACUUGAGUCAUAUGGAAGUAGAUAGAAUGUGUAGUGUAGCGGUGAAAUGCAUAGAUAUUACACAGAAUACCGAUUGCGAAGGCAGUCUACUACGUAUGUACUGACGCUGAGGGACGAAAGCGUGGGGAGCGAACAGGAUUAGAUACCCUGGUAGUCCACGCCGUAAACGAUGGAUACUAGUUGUUGGGCAUUAGCUCAGUGACUAAGCGAAAGUGAUAAGUAUCCCACCUGGGGAGUA
Molecule: ribosomal RNA, 826 nt
Filed under: uncultured marine bacterium
Lineage: Bacteria
Description: bacterial SSU rRNA
Rfam family: Bacterial small subunit ribosomal RNA
Source: RNAcentral